GUCCGUCUCCGGCCACACCGAGGUCACCACCGAUUUCCUGGUCCUCUUCGACGGCGGUCUUCCGGCGACCUCCAUCAAGCGGCGCCGCCUCCACUUCGACCGCGCCGACGAGGCGAGCACGACGCCCAACUCCGCGCUUCCUGGUGGCGCCUGCAACGUCGGCGCGCGCGACGCCUCGCCGCGGUGACCACCUUCCUGGAGAACGCGCGCGGCAUCCCCCUUGCAAGCAAGGUUCGCCAGCGUGGCAGCCACGUCAGCAUCCGCCGGCCCCAUCUGUCAUCCACAUGGGCUAGCUGCCCCUCCGCAUUUGCUUCUUCCCGGAUAGGAUCGCGAAGUGGUGUUGUGAGAUACGACGAGUUCUCCGACAAGUUCUUCUGCAGCUUUUCACAGGCGAGCCCACCCCUUCACCUAUUUUACUUUUACAUGCUCUUUUGAUCUAUUGCUAUCCUUGUGUUGCGAUUCUGUUGUGUCACGUGUCCUAUCCACCUGUUACCUAUAUGUCCGAGAUACACCUCCUCGCCCUACCUAUUGUUUGUUGUUUGCCGACUUUGCGAGUCGUAGGCGAGUUUAGGGUCUUGUUGAUAU
Lolium perenne is the source of this 585-nucleotide non-coding RNA. The record is from RefSeq and is a predicted model, not a curated record. NCBI's taxonomy places the organism in Eukaryota, Viridiplantae, Streptophyta, Magnoliopsida, Poales, Poaceae.